AGAACAUCCUGAUAAGAUCGUGAUUAUGAAAGGGUGCCCCGAUUGUAUCCGUUUCGAAAUGCUUGGAAAAGGGCUACUUCGUCGAUACAACAAAAUCUUAAUACAUUGUGGCACACCCACUACUCUAUACAAGCUGGUACACUAUUGCCACAGUUCAUUGUGGACAAUUGCAUGACAAUAGAAGGAAGAAGCUUUCAUUAUAUCGGUUGAUCUUUUUUUUGGAUUGACGGAUGCUAUUGCCUGAUCUAAUUGUUCAAUGGUAGGAUAUUCCUAUUAUCUUACCUUCGCAUCGCACUGGGGAACCGUGAUAUAGGAUACACAAUUGGAAGAUGCAAUGGUUAUUUGUAGGUGCGGUGGCUUUUGGACUGUUCCUUUCACGUGAGAUUGCUAUUUUUAAUUACACAAGUUUAUUUUCCUUUUUUGUUUUGUUUUCCAAAUUUUUAACCUUCUUUAGUACUUUAACUGUUCCAGUGUAGCUUCUUUGUUGAACCUAUUAAUGAGUUUUUGGGGAAAAAAUAAGAGAUAUAUCACGAUCGUUUAGUCUAUGCAACCUAUUUGUCUUCUUUUC
Long non-coding RNA from Lycium ferocissimum, 568 nucleotides. RefSeq lists it as uncharacterized. The transcript is spliced from 3 exons. NCBI's taxonomy places the organism in Eukaryota, Viridiplantae, Streptophyta, Magnoliopsida, Solanales, Solanaceae. The record is from RefSeq and is a predicted model, not a curated record.